Molecule: long non-coding RNA, 204 nt
Organism: Amphimedon queenslandica
Lineage: Eukaryota; Metazoa; Porifera; Demospongiae; Haplosclerida; Niphatidae
Exons: 2
Source: RefSeq, a predicted model, not a curated record
AAAAUGAUGAUUGUAGAAUGAAUGUCUCUUCUUUUACUUUGUUUUUGUUUCAGCUGCUGCCCCCAAAUCGCAAAAGAAGGUUAAAUCAGAAGAGCUCUCAGAUCUAAUGCCUAAAGCUAAGGCAAUACGUAACUUUGAGCCAGCUUCAUCCCUUGAAAUGAGAGUACAGACUGGUGAUAUGAUUAUCUUAUUAUCUCACGAAGC